This 497-nucleotide ribosomal RNA is filed under the name uncultured bacterium. Its description in RNAcentral is "partial 16S ribosomal RNA". It matches the Rfam family "Bacterial small subunit ribosomal RNA", at positions 28 to 507 of the family's 1533-position model. The record is from RNAcentral.
GAUGAACGCUGGCGGCGUGCCUAAUACAUGCAAGUCGAGCGAACAGACGAGGAGCUUGCUCCUCUGACGUUAGCGGCGGACGGGUGAGUAACACGUGGAUAACCUACCUAUAAGACUGGGAUAACUUCGGGAAACCGGAGCUAAUACCGGAUAAUAUAUUGAACCGCAUGGUUCAAUAGUGAAAGACGGUUUUGCUGUCACUUAUAGAUGGAUCCGCGCCGCAUUAGCUAGUUGGUAAGGUAACGGCUUACCAAGGCAACGAUGCGUAGCCGACCUGAGAGGGUGAUCGGCCACACUGGAACUGAGACACGGUCCAGAGUCCUACGGGAGGCAGCAGUAGGGAAUCUGACGCAAUGGGCGAAAGCCUGACGGAGCAACGCCGCGUGAGUGAUGAAGGUCUUCGGAUCGUAAAACCCUGUUAUGAGGGAAGAACAAAUGUGUAAGUAACUAUGCACGUCUUGACGGUACCUAAUCAGAAAGCCACGGCUAACUACGUG